GGGAGCAUAGCUCAGCUGGUUAGAGCGCCUGCUUCACACGCAGGAGGUCGCAGGUUCGAGUCCUGUUGCGCCCACCA
This is a transfer RNA of 77 nucleotides. It matches the Rfam family "tRNA". Rfam says of the family: Transfer RNA (tRNA) molecules are approximately 80 nucleotides in length.